CAUGACGAACGCUGGCGGCGUGCUAUGCUAUGCAGUCGNCGCGAACGGUCCUUCGGGAGCUAGUAGAGUGGCAACGGGUGAGUAACGCGUGGGUACGUACCCUGAUCCUGGGAAUAACCCUCGGAAACGAGGGCUAAUACCGAAUGUGGCGAACGACCGGUUGGUCGCUCGCUAAAGGUGGCCUCUUCUAUGCUGCCGGGUUGGGAUCGGCCCGCGUUCCAUUAGCUAGUAGGUGAAGGUACGGUUCACCAAAGGCCAGAAUUGGGUAGCCGGCCUGAGAGGGUGUACGGCCACACUGGCACUGAGACAAGGGCCAGUCCCCUAUGGGAGGCGCAGGCGGGAAUAGUUCACAAUGGGCGAAAGCCUGAUGACGCGACGCCGCGUGAGCGAAGAAGACCUUCGGGUUGUAAAGCUCUGUCAGGAGGGAAGAAGGCUCUACGGGUUAAUAGCCCGUGGAAUUGACGGUACCUCCAGAGGAAGCCCCGGCUAAAUACGUGCCAGCAGCCGCGGUAAUACGUAUGGGGCAAGCGUAGUCCGGAUUUACUGGGCGUAAAGGGCGCGUAGGCGGUUUGUUAAGUCGAAGGUGAAAUCCUCGGGCUCAACUCGAGAAUUGCCUUCGAUACUGGCAAACUAGAGUGGCGGAGAGGAAAGCGGAACUCUUGGUGUAACGGUGGAAU
Molecule: ribosomal RNA, 677 nt
Filed under: uncultured organism
Description: bacterial SSU rRNA
Rfam family: Bacterial small subunit ribosomal RNA
Source: RNAcentral